AUUGAACGCUGGCGGCAUGCCUUACACAUGCAAGUCAAACGGCAGCACGGGUGCUUGCACCUGGUGGCGAGUGGCGAACGGGUGAGUAAUACAUCGGAACGUACCUUAUCGUGGGGGAUAACGCAGCGAAAGCUGUGCUAAUACCGCAUACGCCCUGAGGGGGAAAGCGGGGGAUCGAAAGACCUCGCGCGAUUAGAGCGGCCGAUGCCUGAUUAGCUUGUUGGUGGGGUAAAAGCCCACCAAGGCGACGAUCAGUAGCUGGUCUGAGAGGACGAUCAGCCACACUGGGACUAAGACACGGCCCAGACUCCUACGGGAGGCAGCAGUGGGGAAUUUUGGACAAUGGGGGCAACCCUGAUCCAGCAAUGCCGCGUGAGUGAAGAAGGCCUUCGGGUUGUAAAGCUCUUUUGUCAGGGAAGAAACACCGGCUCUAACACAGUCCGGGAAUGACGGUACCUGAGGAAUAAGCACCGGCUAACUACGUGCCAGCCGCCGCAGUAA
This 501-nucleotide ribosomal RNA is filed under the name uncultured bacterium. RNAcentral's name for it is "partial 16S ribosomal RNA". It matches the Rfam family "Bacterial small subunit ribosomal RNA", at positions 30 to 523 of the family's 1533-position model. The record is from RNAcentral.